Molecule: long non-coding RNA, 1379 nt
Organism: Cyprinus carpio (common carp)
Lineage: Eukaryota; Metazoa; Chordata; Actinopteri; Cypriniformes; Cyprinidae
Exons: 2
Source: RefSeq, a predicted model, not a curated record
GGUCAGUCGAUGAAGCGAGCGCACGUGAAGCGAGGCGAUUUUUAAUCAAAGUGUAUUUCUCUGACGUGAUUUCAAAUUAAUAAUGUUUAAGUGCUAAUAAUUCAAGGUUUUAAAUUGAAGGCAUUCUGCAAUCUCGCGUGUUUCCCAUCAGCAUCAAUGACAGAUAUUCAGACCGUGAGCUGUGCAGCCUCUUUCGCUAAGGACUUCAGGGCCCCGAUGUCCCCCAGUAGCGAAGAGAUGCCCAUGCAGUACCACUGCUCACCACUGCUGGCAGUAGAGGCACUGAAGGACUGCAGCUCCACACCUGCUGCCGCCAAAACCCCUGAGAAAGAUAGGAAAGCAGCAUUAUUUUUAAGUGUCAUCAUUCACUCAUAAGCCAUUCUCAACCCAUGUUUUUUUCCAUAUAAUGAAAGCAUAAAGAAGCACUUUUAUAGUAUUGUUAGUUUUGUUUUAGUUUUUAGUGCUAUAUAGUUUUUUGCAAAUUGACAGCACCUAUAUGGAUGAAAAAAAUAAAGGGAAAAACUAACCUUGCAGACUGUUUACAUUUUAAUUUAUAUAAAUUUUAAUUUAAAUGAUAUUUAUAAUUUAUAAAUAUUUAAGUAUGUGAAAACACUCAUAUAACUGUAACUGUAAAUAAAAUUACCUGUAUCAAAAAAUAAGUUUCUUGUGCCUUUUGACCAAUAAAUUUUAAGUUUUUUUUUUUUUUUUUUAAAUGAUACUCUUAAAGAGCAAUUUCUGAGCUGAAUAUCACUUUUAAACUUCCUAAUAUUACUAGGUUUUCCAUCAGUUUCCCUGCAGAAACUCAUCUCCGAUGUUCUUUCCAUUUAAGGUUGUUUGUGCAGAAUGUGAAUCAGCCUUUACCGGUCACAGAGAGCAGGAGCUCGGUGGAAUUGGAUGCUUUGAAGAACAGCAGGUGUCCAGUGAGAGGAACAGGCUGUCGAAACACACUUCCAUUCAGCUCCAGCAGCACAGGAACCCCGGCCUGCACCGAGCCAACAGUCGUAAAGCUACUGCCAUUCACAGAGACCUCCACCACACACACCUCACGCUCAUCCGAGUCUUUAUGAUCCGUCUGCACCUGGUGGUUUGUGACACAGGGACAGAUCAGAGCACUGCUGGGAAAAUAAAACACCUAGAUGGCGUGCUUUAACUUAAAAUACGGAGUAGUUCAAAAAUAUAAAAUUAACUGUAAAGAAGUCUUACUGUAAUUCCGGUCUCUGCAGCUAGAGGCAGUGCAUUCACCAAGUUGGGGCCUUUCUGAGGACCUUCAGCGAGCAAACCAACUACAGCUGCUGAGCUCAAAAACCCAGAGGACUUCUUCAAGGAUUCCCCUGAACAGCAAAAAUAAAUAAAUGCAUAUUUGAUAUAUUAUUGUUAAA